GUAGUCCACGCCGUAAACGAUGUCUACUAGCUGUUCGCGGCCUUGUGUUGUGAGUAGCGCAGCUAACGCAUUAAGUAGACCGCCUGGGGAGUACGGUCGCAAGAUUAAAACUCAAAUGAAUUGACGGGGGCCCGCACAAGCGGUGGAGCAUGUGGUUUAAUUCGACGCAACGCGAAGAACCUUACCUACUCUUGACAUCUACAGAAGAACGCAGAGAUGUGUUUGUGCCUUCGGGAACUGUAAGACAGGUGCUGCAUGGCUGUCGUCAGCUCGUGUUGUGAAAUGUUGGGUUAAGUCCCGCAACGAGCGCAACCCUUAUCCUUAGUUGCCAGCGAUUCGGUCGGGAACUC
RNAcentral lists this ribosomal RNA (350 nucleotides) under uncultured Alishewanella sp. Its description in RNAcentral is "bacterial SSU rRNA". It matches the Rfam family "Bacterial small subunit ribosomal RNA", at positions 790 to 1140 of the family's 1533-position model. Lineage: Bacteria; Pseudomonadati; Pseudomonadota; Gammaproteobacteria; Alteromonadales; Alteromonadaceae. The record is from RNAcentral.